AGUGAACGCUGGCGGUAGGCCUAACACAUGCAAGUCGAACGGCAGCACAGUAAGAGCUUGCUCUUACGGGUGGCGAGUGGCGGACGGGUGAGGAAUACAUCGGAAUCUACUUUUUCGUGGGGGAUAACGUAGGGAAACUUACGCUAAUACCGCAUACGACCUACGGGUGAAAGCAGGGGAUCUUCGGACCUUGCGCGAUUGAAUGAGCCGAUGUCGGAUUAGCUAGUUGGCGGGGUAAAGGCCCACCAAGGCGACGAUCCGUAGCUGGUCUGAGAGGAUGAUCAGCCAAACUGGAACUGAGACACGGUCCAGACUCCUACGGGAGGCAGCAGUGGGGAAUAUUGGACAAUGGGCGCAAGCCUGAUCCAGCCAUACCGCGUGGGUGAAGAAGGCCUUCGGGUUGUAAAGCCCUUUUGUUGGGAAAGAAAAGCAGCAGGUUAAUACCCCGCUGUUCUGACGGUACCCAAAGAAUAAGCACCGGCGAACUUCGU
This 491-nucleotide ribosomal RNA is filed under the name uncultured bacterium. RNAcentral's name for it is "partial 16S ribosomal RNA". It matches the Rfam family "Bacterial small subunit ribosomal RNA", at positions 29 to 506 of the family's 1533-position model. The record is from RNAcentral.